GCAUUUACGCGGUAACUCCCUAGCACAUGCAGGCGAGUUGAAGAUUGGGAUGUAUUGAGACCACAACAGAAUUCCUCCCUCAGCAUUAAUAGUGUGAGAAGAAAAACUCUCAAGAAAGAUUGUCACAUAAUCAUCAAGGAGUUUAUUUAAAAGUCACAAUUACAUUUUGGUGAAAUCGUUAACUUUAUCAUAAACUCUUGGAAUGUGAUGCACUUUUUGGGACAUGAAAGUAGGAAAUGUAGCAAAAUAAUAUGUUUCUACAUUGCUCAGUUGAUAGUGCAUGGCGCUUGAAAUGCCAGGAUGCUGGGCAGGAAUCAUUACUGAAAAUACCUCUGUUGGAGUGUCUGCUAGAGUACUUGAAUGUAAAUGUCUUUAUUCCUUCUGUGAGAGGCCAGGUCAGACCAGAAGAAGGUUCUCCCCAUGCCUUGGCAGCAUGAUAGUCCACCCUCCACAAUGUCUCCUGCAAUUGGAAGUUCCGGUUUUCAGGAAAACGGAUAGAGAGCCUGUGGAAAAAGAUUUCUGCCUUUGGAUGUUAAAAGGGUGGCACUCCUUAUUUGCUCGUCGUCCACGUUCACUGGAUGGUUUGCGCAGAAGAGAACCCAACCCAUAAUGGAAAAACAUUACGUGAAGGAUCUCAUUUCAGGCGUUUCUUUGAACACUUGCUAGACUAGGUUAACCACAGGCAGAGUAGCAUGGUGGGGGAUGGGCAUUAAGUCAGAGAGUGCAACAAAUGAUCUGUACCUAGUGGACUCUGAUACUAGAUCUGUACCUAAAGGAAACUGACCCUAGAUCUGUACCUAGCGGAAACUGAUCCUAGAUCUGUACCUAGCGGAAUCUGAUCCUAGAUCUGUACUUAGCGGAAACUGACCCUAGAUCUGUAUCUAAUAGAAACAUCACCCAAGAGCUCCAUUGUCCAUUGUGAAAAACGUCCAUCCUGUGUAUCCAACAAGUGUAUGCGUGCCCAAAUGAAUAUGAAUAAAGGACAGCAGCUCCUGGGCCGGGCCCAAUGCCCAUCAGUGAAUGGCUCCUUUGCAACAGUCAGGUGUGUCCUGAUCUUCUCAUUGUGCCAGCAGUUUUGUACAGAGGAACAGGUUGUGUAGAGGGCUCAUCUGAUUGCAAUCUCAAGUACUGUGUUAUACAAAACAGGGAUAUACAAAUCCAAUUCUAGUGGUACUGCUGAUUUUCUGUUUUAGCUGGUAAUCAAAUGCACCUACAUUUGAUUACCUACAUUUGAUUUCAGUCCCUUAUGAAAUAGAACAAACAAUGAAAAAAAGAACUGAAAAUAAUCAGCGGAACUUGCUUUGAGGUCCAGAUUCUUAAGCACUUCCCAAUGGGCCAGUUCUCACAUGCCCACGUCCCAGGGAGAACAGAAUUAUCCAAUCCAGUAUCAGAUGCUGUUUUCACCCUGUGAACACUAUACCACCUAGUCAAACACUGAAGUUAAGUAAUUGGAUAGAAGCUAAAGAUUUUCUCUGGUCCAGUUUAGCAGUUAAGGACUUGAGAUCUCAGGGCUCAGGAAGAUCUUUGGGGGGGGGGGGGGGGGGGGGGGGAGUAAAGGUCACAUCACAUAACUUGUAAUCCCUCCUUGUCACUGUCCACACACUCACCCUAAGCAUGUAACCACCCCCGCACACACACUUCCAUUCACGGACAGAGAUAACAACAAUCUACACAUUUCAGAAAGAAAAAGACAUCUACAUAGAAACCCUGACUCAAACCACAAAACAGGCCUUUUCCUCCAGAAUGCAAUCAACCCAAUUUCCCAAGAUGCUUUACAAAGUUUCACCCAACAACUGAAUACCUAACCGUAGUCACCUAGACGGCCGCAUCGCCCUGCCUCAUCCCAAGCACCUCAUCCACCCAGUCCCUUUUUCCUCACCCUAUCCUCUGGGCACAGAUCAACCUCUACAUCUGGCUGAUAUCUGGUCAACUAGCAUGAAUUCAAAGUGACAUCGACAGGUCUUACCACACCAUUGUAUUUAGGUUAACAGUUCGUAGCGAGUAGGGUUUCCCCCGCUCCCAUUUCACCCACUCCCCCAGAAUCCUUCUCAGAGCUGCUUGCUGAGUUUACGAGCCUGUCUUUCCUUGGCGUCAAAUGCAAACUUGGUGUCCUGUAGUUGUUCUAUAAUCUCCCUGGCCUCUUUCAUCUCUUGGGCCAGCUGAUUGUAUUUCUCCAGCAGCUCCUGGUUCUCCCUGCGGAGUUCCACCACCAGUUGGUUCAGUUCUUCACUCUGCUUCCCGCAGUGGAUCUUCAAGGACUCCAUCUCAGUCAGGGUCACCUCCAUGCGCUUCACCAGACCCUCUAGCUUGUCCUUUGACAUCUUGACUUUGAUCUCAGUCAAGUCAGGUUGUGCUUCCUGUAAAGCUUCUUGUCAAGCUUGUUGACGAUCUUCUUGUCGAAGCUUCUUUAACUCAGUGCUCAAGAGCUUCGCUAGGUCGUCGCUUGUUUGGUUGGCCCAAGAGAGACCAAUGUCAUGGGAAACAGCAGUAAGCCAGGCUUCUUGAUCUCUCCCUGUUUGGCCUGCGGAUAUGCGGAUGGUCGCUUGGUUUGUCCAAGAAAGACAACAGCGGGAAAGGUGUUUAGCGUCACUAAUCCCUCUCUUGGCCAAUUAAUAUCUGUGCUGGCUGGUCACCUGUUCUCUGUCCUGUUCCUUGUGACUAAAGCCUAAUCUAUUCCCUGAAUGUUUCAGAUGAGCUGUUCUCUCCUCACUGUCCUCCUACCACCCUAACCAUCCAUGCCUAAUCUUGUUAGUGAGAGGUAUCUUGAGCCAUGACACAUGCAGAGAUACAGUCUCACACACUCCACACCUACACACACCUAAACCAGGUUAAACUGUAGAAAUACAGUGCAAUCCAUAAUUAACAAGGAUCGUUUUCAUCUUUUGGCUCUUUACUCUGAAAGUUUUCUCUGGUGACGGCUGAAUAC
Esox lucius (northern pike) is the source of this 2926-nucleotide long non-coding RNA. Lineage: Eukaryota; Metazoa; Chordata; Actinopteri; Esociformes; Esocidae. The record is from Ensembl.